AUUGAACGCUGGCGGCAUGCUUUACACAUGCAAGUCGAACGGUAACAGGCCUUCGGGUGCUGACGAGUGGCGAACGGGUGAGUAAUGCAUCGGAACGUGCCCAGAGGGGGGGAUAACGCGGCGAAAGCUGUGCUAAUACCGCAUGUGAUCUGAGGAUGAAAGCGGGGGACCAGGCAGCAAUGUUUGGCCUCGCGCCUUUGGAGCGGCCGAUGUCAGAUUAGGUAGUUGGUGGGGUAAAGGCCUACCAAGCCGACGAUCUGUAGCUGGUCUGAGAGGACGACCAGCCACACUGGGACUGAGACACGGCCCAGACUCCUACGGGAGGCAGCAGUGGGGAAUUUUGGACAAUGGGCGCAAGCCUGAUCCAGCAAUGCCGCGUGCGGGAAGAAGGCCUUCGGGUUGUAAACCGCUUUUGUACGGAACGAAAAGGCUCUGGCUAAUACCUGGGGCUGAUGACGGUACCGUAAGAAUAAGCACCGGCUAACUACGUG
RNAcentral lists this ribosomal RNA (491 nucleotides) under uncultured bacterium. Its description in RNAcentral is "partial 16S ribosomal RNA". It matches the Rfam family "Bacterial small subunit ribosomal RNA", at positions 30 to 507 of the family's 1533-position model. The record is from RNAcentral.